AAUAGAGAAAUUCCUGUUGUGCAACUAUUGUCCAAAUGGUUUUAUGGAAAAAAAGUGGGCCAAAUGCUUUGGUUCUAGUCCAAUUUGCCUGUGAUCUGGUCAUAUUCAGGCUUUGGAGAAGCCCAUGCUUAUGCGGACUGACAGGGUUUUUAAGAACCUGCUGUGCCUUCUCCAUUUAUUAUUCUUCCCCUGGUUUCUGAUGCACACAGAAGACUAAGGUUCUUAAGACAGAGCCUCAAGAUGAGAGGAUCUGGGCACCUGAAUCCCAGGUGAAGGAUGCAGAUCAUAUGAUACCUCCUCGUGCAGUCCCUCUGAUCCUCCACAUCAGAAUUAAGUGCCUUAGCCACUAGGCUCACACAAUGGAUUUUACUCACCUUUCAUAUGAAGCUCAUCAUGCUGCAUCAUCCUUAUCUGUUUAUAAGUCUGACUCCACACCUUGUGAUCUUGAAGAGGACGGGAUAAUAUUCUACUCACCUCCACAUUCCCAAGGGAUGGCCGAGAGGCUGGCCCUAAUAGUUUAAUCACCAGGGGCCGCAGGCAUGUUUGCCCUUCGCUAGUCCAUUUUCCAGACUCCAGUCAAAGUGAUUUCCUUAAAAGCAUAAAUCAGAUCAUUUUAUUCCCCCUGCUUAGAACCCUUAAUAGACUUUCCAAUUGCUCUUAAGAUAAAGACCAAAUUCUUUCCAUGGCACGCAUAGCCCUGCAGGAUUCAGCUUGAGCUUACGUCUCCAGCUUCAUUGCUCACCAUUUCCCCCCUGCCCUUUACACGCCAGCCACCCUGGCCUCUCAGUACUUCCAAAGUGCCAUGUUUCUUCCUAGAAUCAGAGACUUCCCAUGUUCAUCUCCCUCAAUCUGGCACCCUUUGUACCUUCGAUCUGAGUUCAAAUAUCACCUCCUCAAGGAUGUCUUCUCUGACCCUUAGCUAGAUGGGGAUAGCUGUUAGAUACUCUCAAAAUACCCUAUGCUUUUCUCAUAGCACUUGGUGGCAUUUGUAAUUACACAGUCACAUGGAUGUGUUAUUUAGAUUAACAUUUGCUCCCUUUCUAGUCUGGAGGGCCCAUGAAGACAGUAAUCACCUGGCUUGCUCUUCACUGUUCAUAGCACCUACCACCAUGCCAGACUCAUGAAAGUACUUCAUAGAUAUUUCUUCACUGAAUGACUUUAUUAAACUACUAUAUCAAUAGUGCUGAAGUUUUUCUUAAUAUUCUGUAAAAUAUAGCCAUUUUGGUUGUCUAAGCUCUUGUAUUUCCUGUACGAACAGAAAACACAAUCAAAUUCACACACACACAGCCUGUCUUAAUGAGUUUUCACACAGAUCUUUAAAAUACAUAACCAGGCAUGAGAGUUCAUGGUUAUUAAUUUAUAAGCUAUACAUAAUUAUUAAAAUGAAGAUGGUAUGUAGGUGGCUAAGCCAAGGGCUAUUCCCUCUUGAAUGAGUUAUCAGGAAAUCUGGCUGUACUGAAUAUUUCAGAACACACUCCAGGAUUAGAAUCAAUGCUCACUGGAGUUUUCCUACAUAAAAGAUAACAAUGUAAUGAAAGGUGUGUGUACUUUUGAGCAUGUAUAUUCAAUUAAGAGCCAUUUCCAUAGCCUAUUGCAUCAAGUGGAAAGACAACUAGACUCUAGUUGUCUACUUUACAUAUCUUAAUGGAAUUUUUCAGAUUAUAAGCAUUAAUGUAGUGUGAAAAAAAUACAUAAUGUCUUUAGGAAAAAUCCUCAUUUGUUCACUUUCUUUCUCUUACUCCCUAGAAAUAUAAAUCAUAGGCAUAUGUAAAUGUGCAAAAUAGGCAAAAUA
Molecule: long non-coding RNA, 1792 nt
Organism: Canis lupus familiaris (dog)
Lineage: Eukaryota; Metazoa; Chordata; Mammalia; Carnivora; Canidae
Exons: 3
Source: RefSeq, a predicted model, not a curated record